Molecule: long non-coding RNA, 102 nt
Organism: Oncorhynchus kisutch (coho salmon)
Lineage: Eukaryota; Metazoa; Chordata; Actinopteri; Salmoniformes; Salmonidae
Exons: 3
Source: RefSeq, a predicted model, not a curated record
GUCCUGGGUCAAGGUCACAAUUAUAGGAAGACGCGCAUGUGUGUGUCCAAUGUGUGUUUGUGUUUGUCCAGUGUGUGUGUGUGUGUGUCCAACACACACACA